GGGGGCCCGCAAGCAGCGGAGCAUGUGGUUUAAUUCGAAGCAACGCGAAGAACCUUACCUAGACUUGACAUCUCCUGCAUUACCCUUAAUCGGGGAAGUUCUUUCGGGAACAGGAAGACAGGUGGUGCAUGGUUGUCGUCAGCUCGUGUCGUGAGAUGUUGGGUUAAGUCCCGCAACGAGCGCAACCCUUAUUGUUAGUUGCUACCAUUUAGUUGAGCACUCUAGCGAGACUGCCCGGGUUAACCGGGAGGAAGGUGGGGAUGACGUCAAAUCAUCAUGCCCCUUAUGUCUAGGGCUACACACGUGCUACAAUGGCAAGUACAAAGAGAAGCAAGACCGCGAGGUGGAGCAAAACUCAAAAACUUGUCUCAGUUCGGAUUGUAGGCUGAAACUCGCCUACAUGAAGCUGGAGUUGCUAGUAAUCGCGAAUCAGCAUGUCGCGGUGAAUACGUUCCCGGGCCUUGUACACACC
This 472-nucleotide ribosomal RNA is filed under the name uncultured bacterium. RNAcentral describes it as "bacterial SSU rRNA". It matches the Rfam family "Bacterial small subunit ribosomal RNA", at positions 915 to 1391 of the family's 1533-position model. The record is from RNAcentral.